GAUGAACGCUGGCGGCGUGCUUAACACAUGCAAGUCGAACGAUGAAGCCCAGCUUGCUGGGUGGAUUAGUGGCGAACGGGUGAGUAACACGUGAGUAACCUGCCCUUAACUCUGGGAUAAGCCUGGGAAACUGGGUCUAAUACCGGAUAGGAGCGUCCACCGCAUGGUGGGUGUUGGAAAGAUUUAUCGGUUUUGGAUGGACUCGCGGCCUAUCAGCUUGUUGGUGAGGUAAUGGCUCACCAAGGCGACGACGGGUAGCCGGCCUGAGAGGGUGACCGGCCACACUGGGACUGAGACACGGCCCAGACUCCUACGGGAGGCAGCAGUGGGGAAUAUUGCACAAUGGGCGCAAGCCUGAUGCAGCGACGCCGCGUGAGGGAUGACGGCCUUCGGGUUGUAAACCUCUUCAGUAGGGAAGAAGCGAAAGUGACGGUACCUGCAGAAGAAGCACCGGCUAACUACGUG
Molecule: ribosomal RNA, 465 nt
Filed under: uncultured bacterium
Lineage: Bacteria
Description: partial 16S ribosomal RNA
Rfam family: Bacterial small subunit ribosomal RNA
Source: RNAcentral